RNAcentral lists this long non-coding RNA (2493 nucleotides) under Homo sapiens (human). RNAcentral describes it as "APRG1 tumor suppressor candidate". Lineage: Eukaryota; Metazoa; Chordata; Mammalia; Primates; Hominidae. The record is from RNAcentral.
CACACACACACACACACACACACACACACACAUCUUAUCUUAAUCCCAAAUAUGAUAGUACAGGAUAACAUUAAGGUUGUUUGACCUAAGGGCAGGAUUUAGUAAGUAUGUGAAAGAAAUCUCAGAAGAAUUCCCGCAACUGGGGUUAAUUAGCAUCCAAGAUGAAGUUGUUUUACCCUUCACAGGGGUGGAAGUCCAGACUUCCCAUAUGGUCUCCACUGACAUGGGGACAUGAUAUGGUGGGAAGGUCUCACUGCCUCCCACCAGGGAUGCUUCCUACGUGGCCUUUUCUGACAUCACCCUGGACAGAGUGUGCUUCCUUUACAGCUUGGCAGAUGUUAGAGGUCUAGGCUGUCCACUCGACAUUUGCUGGCAUGAAUGGGGGUGGGCCUGCAGUAUUUUCUGUGGUGUUUGGCUGGAGUAGACAGUUGUCUGAAAGCUUUCUGUCUUGCUAGGCUGCCUCUGUCCUGGUUCCUUGGCUAGAGAGAGGAGUUCUUUUUUGGAGAUUAUUUUUUUUUUUUGGUCUGAAUUCAGCAUUUCCAGGUAGCUGGCUUCUUCAGCUCCAAGUCAGGGAUCUAUGAAGCAAAGAGAAAACCCAGGGAACUCACCACCAUGGCAUUCCUUAGGUCCCAAGGUCUCUAGCUGGUCUGGCUUCGCUUCGUCUUUUAGAGUGUUAUAUUUGUUUUAUAUAUAAUGUCCAGUGUUUCUAGUUGCAUUCUGUGGGAGGCAUAGGGAGAAGUAUGUCUAUCUUCCCAGAAGCAGAAGUCUCCAAUACAAUGUGAUUUUAUUUAUGUAAAUUUUAAAAGUUGUAUGUAUUGUCACAGAUAUACAUACUUUUAAUAAAUGUAUGCAUAUAUAAACUGGAAGGAUAUAUAGUUAAUUCACCAUGGUGUUUAUAACUGAUCUUCCCUGAUCACUACCACCCAAUCUCUGUUUCCUCACACUUCUUUAGUUUUUUCUUAUGGCAUCUAGUAUUGUCUGCCCUCAUGUUGUGUGUUUAUUUGUUUAUUGUCUUUUUCCUCAUACUAGAAUGAAAACUCCAAGAGGGCAGGAACAUUAUCCAUCCUGCUCACUGUUGCAUCCUUAACACUUAGAAUAUGUAGUAAGCACUCAAUAAGCAUGUACUGAGUGAAUAAAUUAAUGAAAAAGUGAGUAAGAAAGGGGAUAAAAUGUAUCAGUACUUUCUCUGUAAUUAAAAACAAAACAUUUUGAAAAGACUGAGAAUAUCACCUCUUUCUCCAAUGAGAAGGCACAUGGAAAUGCAAGGGAGUAUGAGAAACACAGUUAUGGGCAGAAUAUGGACUCUUAUUUUAUAAGUCAAUUAAUCACAAAUACUGCUAUUUUAAGGAACCAAUUACUUGUAACACAACUCACAACUGAUCAAGACACACCAGUGGGAAUGAGUACAGCUGGAAAAAGCUCUCUAUUGUUUUAAUUCCUACUUUAUUAUUAUUGUUUUUUUAAAUUUUUUAAACAACUUUUAGGUUCAGAGGUACAUGUGCAGCUUUGUUAUAUAGGUAAACUCGUGUCAUAGGGGUUUGUCGUAGAGAUUAUUUUAUCACCCAGGUACUAAGCCUAGUACUCAAUAGUUAUUUUUUCUGAUCCUCUCCAGAUGCUGGCAAGGUUGCGGAGCAAAGGGAACACUUAUACACUGUUGAUGGGAGUGUAAAUUAGUUCAACCAUUGUGGAAAGCAGUGUGGUGAUUCCUCAAAGAGCUAAAAACAGAACUACUAUUUGACCCAGCAAUCCCAUUACCAGGGGAGAAAGGGAUGAGGAUGUUGGAUAAGCAGCUCAGCAUGUUCCCCAACAUGUAAGGGAAUCAGGUCGAGUUCUACACUCUCCUUCUUGGUACACAUCCUCAGAAUGCAGGAAGUGCCUGUGCUUGCUGUGAGUCUUUGUGGACAGAGGCAGGAUCAUGCUGGCUAGAAUCUAGUGGACAAGGGCAGCACAUUCCCCCUGUUCCCAGGUGGGUCCAGAGAUGUCGCCUGGGAGCCAGGGCCUGGAGUUCUGUUACUGUGGCUGAGCUUGCACCCAAGCUACAAGAUGACAUCCUACUCUUCCCUCACCUUUCUACAAGUAGAGGAGUCUCUUCUCAUGGCCACCAUUGUCCCAGGAUGUGAGGUCUGGAACAGCUGCAGCCAUUUUGCCACCAUGGGAAACCUGGGACAUCUGAACUGACUCCAUGAAGCCUGAAGAGAAAGCUAAUAAGAAGGCAGAGAGAAGAGGAAGAGUCUUGGUCUUUGGAAAUAUCUUUUGGAGCUGCUGGAUCAAGUAUCACUUGAAGUAUUAUUGAAUUUAUUCCCCGAAGGAGAGCGGCUAAGAGUAUUGCCCAGCCACAGGCUCUCAACCACCAACCCGAGCCUCAGAUUCUCCUCACACAGCCACAGCUGUACCACAUGGCCCACGUGUGCUCCAAAUGCCUUUUUCAGAAAUCUGAAUCCACAUGAAAACAAUGGCAACAAGAAAAAGGUGUAAACUUUCCAGAACAGGCCC